AUACGGAGGGUGCGAGCGUUAAUCGGAAUUACUGGGCGUAAAGGGUGCGUAGGCGGCUUGAUAAGUCGGAUGUGAAAGCCCCGGGCUUAACCUGGGAAUUGCAUUCGAUACUGUCAGGCUAGAGUAUGUCAGAGGUUGGCGGAAUUCCUGGUGUAGCGGUGAAAUGAGUAGAUAUCAGGAGGAACACCAGUGGCGAAGGCGGCUAACUGGGACAAUACUGACGCUGAGGCACGAAAGCGUGGGGAGCAAACAGGAUUAGAAACCCUAGUAGUCC
RNAcentral lists this ribosomal RNA (274 nucleotides) under uncultured bacterium. RNAcentral's name for it is "partial 16S ribosomal RNA". It matches the Rfam family "Bacterial small subunit ribosomal RNA", at positions 523 to 796 of the family's 1533-position model. The record is from RNAcentral.